This 70-nucleotide transfer RNA is filed under the name Firmicutes bacterium ADurb.Bin506. RNAcentral's name for it is "tRNA-Met". Lineage: Bacteria; Bacillati; Bacillota. The record is from RNAcentral.
CGCGGCGCCUGCCGGGCAGCCGGCGCUCUCAUAAGGCGCUCGUCGAGGGUUCGACUCCCUCCGUCGCGAC